Arachis ipaensis is the source of this 573-nucleotide non-coding RNA. The record is from RefSeq and is a predicted model, not a curated record. Lineage: Eukaryota; Viridiplantae; Streptophyta; Magnoliopsida; Fabales; Fabaceae.
CAUUACCUAUUUAAGUUGGUCAUUUUCGAAAAACACAUUAUUAAGAUGGGUCAUUUUCGUCUAUUCCAACCUUAGAAAACGACAAACCUUAAGUGGAAAACUUAUUCGUACGCAGAACAUUAGAGUUCCAAAUCCGUACGCGGGAACACUGGAUAAUUUUCCUAAACUAUAAUGGAAUAUAAAUUUCUAGUAAGUCAGGUAUUGAGAACUUGUGAAGAAGUGAGAGAAUUGGUCCAAGACUAUCCACAAGCAUUGCAGAAGCUGAUUUACCAAGAAAGAAGGAAUUCAAAGAGAAGUAAGGAGCAGAAUUUGACAGAAAGGGAAGAAUACAUAGCCUCCAAGCCUUGUUUUGUAUUUACACCGACGCCGUCCCCCUGCUACGCCAUUAUCCUCUUGAAGCCUCAAUUUCACCCUCUGCCAUGCUGCCUCCAAUCUCGCUGUCCCUCCAUCGAGCUUAGCCUUGCUCGCCUCUGUUAGAUACACCUUUUUUUUUCCAUUUUGAGUUUUGAUAGCAUAUUUUGCUGAUUGUUGCUCAACUGUUGUGUUGUGAAACUGUGGAAAGUUGUUCUUGCU